AGCGAACGCUGGCGGCAGGCCUAACACAUGCAAGUCGAACGAACUCUUCGGAGUUAGUGGCGGACGGGUGAGUAACACGUGGGAACGUGCCUUUUGGUUCGGAAUAACUCAGGGAAACUUGUGCUAAUACCGAAUGUGCCCUUCGGGGGAAAGAUUUAUCGCCAUUAGAGCGGCCCGCGUCUGAUUAGCUAGUUGGUGAGGUAACGGCCUACCAAGGCGACGAUCAGUAGCUGGUCUGAGAGGAUGACCAGCCACACUGGGACUGAGACACGGCCCAGACUCCUACGGGAGGCAGCAGUGGGGAAUCUUGCGCAAUGGGCGAAAGCCUGACGCAGCCAUGCCGCGUGAAUGAUGAAGGUCUUAGGAUUGUAAAAUUCUUUCACCGGGGACGACAAUGACGGUACCCGGAGAAGAAGCCCCGGCUAACUUCGUG
RNAcentral lists this ribosomal RNA (433 nucleotides) under uncultured bacterium. RNAcentral's name for it is "partial 16S ribosomal RNA". It matches the Rfam family "Bacterial small subunit ribosomal RNA", at positions 29 to 507 of the family's 1533-position model. The record is from RNAcentral.